RNAcentral lists this ribosomal RNA (253 nucleotides) under uncultured bacterium. RNAcentral's name for it is "partial 16S ribosomal RNA". It matches the Rfam family "Bacterial small subunit ribosomal RNA", at positions 524 to 776 of the family's 1533-position model. The record is from RNAcentral.
UACGUAGGGUGCGAGCGUUAAUCGGAAUUACUGGGCGUAAAGCGUGCGCAGGCGGUUCUGUAAGCCAGAUGUGAAAUCCCCGGGCUUAACCUGGGAAUGGCAUUUGGGACUGCAAGGCUCGAGUGCGGCAGAGGAGACUGGAAUUCCUGGUGUAGCAGUGAAAUGCGUAGAUAUCAGGAGGAACACCGAUGGCGAAGGCAGGUCUCUGGGCUGACACUGACGCUCAUGCACGAAAGCGUGGGGAGCAAACAGG